CCUACGGGAGGCAGCAGUGAGGAAUAUUGGUCAAUGGGCGAGAGCCUGAACCAGCCAAGUCGCGUGAAGGAUGACGGCCCUACGGGUUGUAAACUUCUUUUGUCAGGGAGCAAUUGGGUCCACGCGUGGGCUUAGCGAGAGUACCUGAAGAAAAAGCAUCGGCUAACUCCGUGCCAGCAGCCGCGGUAAUACGGAGGAUGCGAGCGUUAUCCGGAUUUACUGGGUGUAAAGGGGGCGCAGACGGCAGCGCAAGCCAGGAGUGAAAGCCCGGGGCCCAACCCCGGGACUGCUCUUGGAACUGCGCGGCUGGAGUGCAGGAGGGGCAGGCGGAAUUCCUGGUGUAGCGGUGAAAUGCGUAGAUAUCAGGAGGAACACCGGUGGCGAAGGCGGCCUGCUGGACUGCGACUGACGUUGAGGCCCGAAAGCGUGGGGAGCAAACAGGAUUAGAUACCCUUGUAGUC
Molecule: ribosomal RNA, 461 nt
Filed under: uncultured bacterium
Lineage: Bacteria
Description: partial 16S ribosomal RNA
Rfam family: Bacterial small subunit ribosomal RNA
Source: RNAcentral